UACGGGGGGAGCAAGCGUUGUUCGGAUUUACUGGGCGUAAAGGGCGCGUAGGCGGUCAGCACAAGUCAGUUGUGAAAUCUCCGGGCUUAACUCGGAAAGGUCAACUGAUACUGUGCGACUAGAGUGCGGAAGGGGCAACUGGAAUUCUCGGUGUAGCGGUGAAAUGCGUAGAUAUCGAGAGGAACACCUGCGGCGAAGGCGGUUCUCUGGGCCUGUACUGACGCUGAGGAACGAAAGCGUGGGGAGCGAACAGG
Molecule: ribosomal RNA, 254 nt
Filed under: uncultured bacterium
Lineage: Bacteria
Description: partial 16S ribosomal RNA
Rfam family: Bacterial small subunit ribosomal RNA
Source: RNAcentral